CCCUUAGAUGUUCUGGGCUGCACGCGUGCUACACUGAUAUUGCCAAUAUGUCAUUCUUAUCCGAAAUGGAUUGGGUAAUCAAGUAAUGAAAUUUCAUGCUUGGAAUCGGUAAUUGCAAUUUUAUCGUGAACGAGGAAUUCCUAGUAAGCACUAGUCAUCAGCUAAUGUUGAUUAUGUCCCUGCCCUUUGUACACACCGCCCGUCGCUACUACUGAUUGGGUGUUCAAGUGAGAUGCUUAGACCCUUGUUGCAUGAUUCAUUAUUGUGCUCCGAAAGGAAAAAGUUUCAAGCUUGAGUGUCUAGAGGAAGUAAAAGUCGUAACA
This 323-nucleotide ribosomal RNA is filed under the name uncultured eukaryote. RNAcentral's name for it is "partial 18S ribosomal RNA". It matches the Rfam family "Eukaryotic small subunit ribosomal RNA", at positions 1470 to 1796 of the family's 1831-position model. The record is from RNAcentral.